Molecule: ribosomal RNA, 492 nt
Filed under: uncultured bacterium
Lineage: Bacteria
Description: partial 16S ribosomal RNA
Rfam family: Bacterial small subunit ribosomal RNA
Source: RNAcentral
AGUGAACGCUGGCGGUAGGCCUAACACAUGCAAGUCGAACGGCAGCACAGUAAGAGCUUGCUCUUACGGGUGGCGAGUGGCGGACGGGUGAGGAAUACAUCGGAAUCUACUUUUUCGUGGGGGAUAACGUAGGGAAACUUACGCUAAUACCGCAUACGACCUACGGGUGAAAGCAGGGGAUCUUCGGACCUUUCGCGAUUGAAUGAGCCGAUGUCGGAUUAGCUAGUUGGCGGGGUAAAGGCCCACCAAGGCGACGAUCCGUAGCUGGUCUGAGAGGAUGAUCAGCCACACUGGAACUGAGACACGGUCCAGACUCCUACGGGAGGCAGCAGUGGGGAAUAUUGGACAAUGGGCGCAAGCCUGAUCCAGCCAUACCGCGUGGGUGAAGAAGGCCUUCGGGUUGUAAAGCCCUUUUGUUAGGAAAGAAAAGCAGCAGGUUAAUACCCCGCUGUUCUGGCGGUACCCAAAGAAUAAGCACCGGCUAACUUCGUG